Molecule: ribosomal RNA, 429 nt
Filed under: Chloroflexota bacterium
Lineage: Bacteria; Bacillati; Chloroflexota
Description: Chloroflexi bacterium partial 16S ribosomal RNA
Rfam family: Bacterial small subunit ribosomal RNA
Source: RNAcentral
UGGGGAAUAUUGCACAAUGGGCGCAAGCCUGAUGCAGCCAUGCCGCGUGUAUGAAGAAGGCCUUCGGGUUGUAAAGUACUUUCAGUCGGGAGGAAGGUGUCAAGGUUAAUAACCUUGGCAAUUGAUGUUACCGACAGAAGAAGCACCGGCUAACUCCGUGCCAGCAGCCGCGGUAAUACGGAGGGUGCAAGCGUUAAUCGGAAUUACUGGGCGUAAAGCGCACGAAGGCGGUUGAUUGAGUCAGAUGUGAAAUCCCCGGGCUUAACCCUGGAAUUGCAUCUGAUACUGGUCAGCUAGAGUCUUGUAGAGGGGGGUAGAAUUCCAUGUGUAGCGGUGAAAUGCGUAGAGAUCUGGAGGAAUACCGGUGGCGAAGGCGGCCCCCUGGACAAAGACUGACGCUCAGGUGCGAAAGCGUGGGGAGCAAACAGG